Molecule: non-coding RNA, 450 nt
Organism: Triticum urartu
Lineage: Eukaryota; Viridiplantae; Streptophyta; Magnoliopsida; Poales; Poaceae
Source: RefSeq, a predicted model, not a curated record
AAAGAACGCCGAUAACCGUAAGAAACAGAAGACAAAACAUAAAAUUGGAUCAAAAACUUACUCGCAAGUAAGCUUUGAGAAGAGAAACUUGGAACUCACCCACACGAACGACGGAACAUGGUCUAACACAGAGUCCUAGAAAGUUUGCAACAAAGCACGUCAAGAGGUUCAAAACAAAGAAACUGAAACUGAAGGUCCACUUUCAAGUGAGUAGAAAAACUAUAUUUUCCAGACCGCAUACAAAGAGACUCUGAAAUGCAAGUCAUCGCAGCCUUGUGGGUACGGAUACAUGGCCAAACCUUCAACUGGUUCUCAAAGGUUUCGUAUCCAGGUUGAAGAGCAAGGUCGUGCUACAGCAGCCACCCAGCAGCAAAACUCUGAGCUCAGCCAGCAGGUCAACGAAUUACAAGAUCAACUACAAGCUGAACGUGCAAACACACAAGAGAGGAU